RNAcentral lists this ribosomal RNA (498 nucleotides) under uncultured bacterium. Its description in RNAcentral is "partial 16S ribosomal RNA". It matches the Rfam family "Bacterial small subunit ribosomal RNA", at positions 30 to 523 of the family's 1533-position model. The record is from RNAcentral.
AUUGAACGCUGGCGGCAUGCCUUACACAUGCAAGUCGAACGGUAACAGGUCUUCGGAUGCUGACGAGUGGCGAACGGGUGAGUAAUACAUCGGAACGUGCCCGAGAGUGGGGGAUAACGAAGCGAAAGCUUUGCUAAUACCGCAUACGAUCUCAGGAUGAAAGCAGGGGACCGCAAUGCCUUGCGCUCACGGAGCGGCCGAUGGCAGAUUAGGUAGUUGGUGGGAUAAAAGCUUACCAAGCCGACGAUCUGUAGCGGGUCUGAGAGGACGACCAGCCACACUGGGACUGAGACACGGCCCAGACUCCUACGGGAGGCAGCAGUGGGGAAUUUUGGACAAUGGGCGCAAGCCUGAUCCAGCCAUGCCGCGUGCAGGAUGAAGGCCUUCGGGUUGUAAACUGCUUUUGUACGGAACGAAAAGACUCUGGUUAAUACCUGGGGUCCAUGACGGUACCGUAAGAAUAAGCACCGGCUAACUACGUGCCAGCCGCCGCCGUAA